AGUAAAAAAGUUACAGUUAACUAAGGUUAACUUAUUGAAGAAAAAAUAUUUUUAAUAAAUUUAGUGUAGCCUAAGUGUACAAUGUUAAUAAAUUCUGCAGUAGUCUACAGUAAUGUCCUAGGCCUUUACAUUCUCUCACCACUCACUCACUGACUUACCCAGAGCAACUUCCAGUCCUACAAGUUCCAUUCAUGGUAAAUGCCCUCUCCAAGUAUACCAUUUAAAAAAAUCUUUUAUACUAUAUUUUUACUGUACCUUUUCUAUGUUUAGAUACACAAAUACCAUUGUGCUACAAUUGCCUAUUGUUAUUAGUACAUCAACAUGCUAUACAGGCUUGUAGCCUAGAAGCAAUAGGCUAUAGAAUAUAGCCUAAGUGUGUAGUAGGCUAUCCCAUCUAGGUUUGUGAAAAUGUACUCUAUGAUGUCUGUACAACAACAAAAAAGUCUAAAGACUCAUUUCUCAGAAUAUAACCCUAUUAUUAAGCAAUGCAUGACUGCAGGUAGCAAACCAUUGAUUAAUCAGUGGCUCAAUAAUUAAUAGAAGGAAUAAAUUGUUGCAAGCCAUCUAUGUGCCUGACUUUGGGCAUUAUGAUGGAGAGAAGAUAAGAAUAAGUUAUUGCUCUGUGCUCUCAAGUUUCAAAGAGGGGUGUAGCUGCUGUUUCUCAGCCUGAGAAUUGUCCUUUCUCACAACUGAAAAACAGAAAAAACUCACAAUCUAGUAGGGAAACCAAACAGGGAAAUAAAUGAAUGACAAACAAUAUAACCAAUACUCCAAUAGAGAGAGCACGAAAUAUACAAUGAUAAACCAGGCAUGAAGGAGGGUCAACUAUUUGUGGGGUUAUCAGCUAUGAUGAUUAAUUUGAUUUUCUAACAAAAAACCUAAAGUAAUAGAAUUUUUUUGCUUUUACCCUUAGUGUUGAAACUCUAAGAGGUAUGUUCCACUCUCCUACUUCUAUAAGUUAAGUCUAGGAAACAUUCCUUUAUCUACAUCUUGCCUCAUCCCACAAAGGAUUAGAGGAAAUGCUAUAUUCAAUAAAACAAUGACUAAGUAUAAUGUAAUAGAAGAAAAGGAUUCUUAUUUAAAACUUAGACUGUGACUACUUUCACCUUCUAUAGGUGGGAGAAGGCUGUGUAAAUUAAUCAUAUCAGUGGAAAUAUAAAUCAUAUAUCACUUCCUUCCAUACUCAGGCACUAAUAUUUAUUAGUGGCAAGUCUGAGAUUUCAAAGUCUGCCAGUUUUAAGCUGCUCAAGAGGUCCUCUGAAUAUAUGGUCUUAGAGAUACAUUAGUGAGCAUUUGGGUAUGUGAAGUUCAGCCUAGAGUUCAGGGGUCACGCUAUAUUGUCAUCUAUAAUAAGUGAGAAAAAUUCCAUUUCCUGGGAGCAGUUCAAUAUGAAGGGCCCCCCAAAAAUGGACUAGCCAGAGCAGUGUGAAGAGCCUACUGAGGAGGACAAAAAACACAGACAAAAGUGCCAAAGUAAAACCCAUUUAUUUUCCCAAAAUAGCAACAAAGCCUGCUGUGAUACCAAAUACUUGGAGUGACUUGAUUUUUCUUUAGGUGGGGGAACAUUAAUUUAAUUUAAUUUUUUUUAAAGAGUUGAGUUUUGAAUUUGGGGUUGUUUGGGCACAGAAGGAAGAGAACAGAGAAAAGAGAUAGGAAAGAGUGAGAUCCUAAGUUUAAUGGGAGCAGAAAUGCAGUCAGGGAUGGCCACGAGAAUGAAAUUGUGCCUCUUCCCCAUCACCCUUGCUCCUCAUUCAGUGAUUUGCAGAAUCCUAGACAGACAGGGAAUUGGAUUUCCUGUUGCAUGUGAGAUAGAAUGACCAGGCAAAUUAAAUUAAGAAUGUCUUCUGACAAGGAGCUGGGACCAGGAAAACUGUAAACAAAAGAUGAGUAUCAAUUAUAUGUGUGGGUAAAGAGGUCAAAUAGGGAGAGGGAAAUCAAAACAUCUGGAUUCUCCAGUCCAAACAGUUAGCUCUAGCUGGUAUUUUGGAGUGAGCACCAUCUAGGGCUUUACCUGCAAAAAGUAAAGAUGAGACUGAGAUGAGUCUGUUCAGAUUCUAGGCUGGAUCUGACAUGCAAAUUUUGUUUGUGUGUUUUUCUGUCUGCUUGCUAUGUUUAAUUCUCCACCCACUUUUUCACUAUUACAGAAGAUUUAUUUAUUUAUUUAUUUUGACCAACUGAGGUCUAGUUAAUUCAGUUUCAAAUUGAUAUUUAAAAAUUAUUUCUUGUUUUGUAUUAUCUAUUCUUCCCACACAUAUGACUAGGCAACCAGAGUUGACUCAAUAAUAAUGAUGAUGCUGAUGAGAACUGUAACUUAUGAAGCUAUUCUUCUUAUGUGCCAGGGACUAAGGGCCACCAGGCACUGAGCUGUGAUGCUCCCCACCUCCCCACGGCUCUCUCAACACAUUUCCUCUUUUGGUUACUGCUGUCAUCCUGGAAGCCUUCAUGCCUACCCUCUGACUCUGCCCCAGGCAUGGAGCCUGGUGAGCCUCAGAUGGAAGAGGCGCUCCUGGUCAAUGUCUGACCUCCAGGAAGAGGCCCAGUGCCCAGGGUUUAGGACUCUGAGAGGAGGAUUUGGAGCAGAGUUAACUCAUGAAGGUCUGUGCUAAUAAAAGGAUG
Molecule: non-coding RNA, 2616 nt
Organism: Chlorocebus sabaeus (green monkey)
Lineage: Eukaryota; Metazoa; Chordata; Mammalia; Primates; Cercopithecidae
Source: RefSeq, a predicted model, not a curated record